GAUGAACGCUGGCGGCGUGCCUAAUACAUGCAAGUCGAGCGAACAGACGAUGAGCUUGCUUCUCUGACGUUAGCGGCGGACGUGUGAGUAACACAUGUAUAACCUACCUAUAAGACUGGGAUAACUUCGGGAAACCGGAGCUAAUACCGGAUAAUAUAUUGAACCGCAUGGUUCAAUAGUGAAAGACGGUUUUGCUGUCACUUAUAGAUGGAUCUGCGCCGCAUUAGCUAGUUGGUAAGGUAACGGCUUACCAAGGCAACGAUGCGUAGACGACCUGAGAGGGUGAUAGGCCACACUGGAACUGAGACACGGUCCAGGCUCCUACGGGAGGCCGCAGUCGGGAACCUUCCGCAAUGGGCGAAAGCCUGACGGAGCAACGCCGCGUGAGUGAUGAAGGUCUUCGGAUCGUAAAACUCUGUUAUUAGGGAAGAACAAAUGUGUAAGUAACUAUGCACGUCUUGACGGUAACUAAUCAGAAAGCCACGGCUAACUACGUG
This 497-nucleotide ribosomal RNA is filed under the name uncultured bacterium. RNAcentral describes it as "partial 16S ribosomal RNA". It matches the Rfam family "Bacterial small subunit ribosomal RNA", at positions 28 to 507 of the family's 1533-position model. The record is from RNAcentral.